ACUCGGCGUGGCGUCGGUCGUGGUA
Molecule: non-coding RNA, 25 nt
Filed under: Callithrix jacchus (white-tufted-ear marmoset)
Lineage: Eukaryota; Metazoa; Chordata; Mammalia; Primates; Cebidae
Also listed under: 1 other name
Source: RNAcentral